CUUGAAAUUCAUUUGCUAUUAUGACAUGCUUAUAUACACUUCGUAUGAGAUCAAUAUCCUUACAUUAAAGAGAUCAAUAUCACUACAUUAAAGAAAUGAUAUGAUCCAUAUAAAGAAAAUCUCUACAAAUAUGUCCAUACUUGGCAAAAUUAAGAAAUAAUUUCUAUCACAUGGGAUUAUAUAGCUGGUCAUAUGUGCCAAAUCUAGUUGCAUGGUUGGCUGAGGAAAUCAAGAAAUGAUUUCCAUCAUAUGGAUUGUAUAGCUGCCCCUAUCUGCCUAAUCUAUUGCCAAGAGAAUCAAGAUAUGAUUUUUGUUGGCCCAACUAGGCAACCGAAGAGGGGGGGAGGGUGAAUUGGGUUUUAUAAAAUUUUAUGAAAAUAAAAUCAAAUCAUCUCAAGUUUUUAAAUCUAAUGAAAUAAACUAGAUACAAUAAGUAUAGCAAAUAAUAAUCACAAAUAUGCAACUAAGUAUUGAAAAAUAAAGAGUGAAGGAAAAAAAAUAAUACACGACAAUUUAUUGUGGUUCGGUCUCCUUGUGAGCCUACAUACACUCCCCAAAACUUCUUCUUGAGAUUAAUCUACUAUGCUUAUCCAAAGCUUUACAAAUCGCUUGUCUUCCGAGUGCAAGCAACCUUUACAUUUGGUGAUAUCCGAGCUAACCCUUGAUUAAUCUACUCCCUCAAACACUCUCUUAUUUAUCUAGAGUACAAUUCUCCAAAGCAAUCUCUUUUUAUCACUCAAACUAACAAGAGCUCAACAACUCUCUUACAAUACUUAAUCAAAAUAACAAAAAUGAAAGCACUAUACUCAAUUUCUCAACAAGGAAGACUUUUUACUUCGAAGCACAGUACUCUCUUGAUUUCUCUUU
Molecule: long non-coding RNA, 867 nt
Filed under: Phoenix dactylifera (date palm)
Lineage: Eukaryota; Viridiplantae; Streptophyta; Magnoliopsida; Arecales; Arecaceae
Description: long non-coding RNA (PDAC_LNC000170)
Source: RNAcentral